This 900-nucleotide long non-coding RNA is filed under the name Helianthus annuus (common sunflower). The stretch from base 174 to 325 matches the Rfam family "mir-166 microRNA precursor family". Lineage: Eukaryota; Viridiplantae; Streptophyta; Magnoliopsida; Asterales; Asteraceae. The record is from RNAcentral.
AUGACUUUGCUUGUCUUUUUAUCAACACACCACCUCCUUCUACCUCACACCUCUCUCUCUUUAUACAUCCUCAUUCUUCACCAUUUUCACACACUCACACACCAUAUUCUCUAUCCAUUAUUCAUACAUAUCCAUGAAGAAUAUAUAUAAUAAUCACACAGGAAGAUCUUUCUUUUGUGGGGAAUGUUGUCUGGCUCGAGACCACAAGAAAGCUUCAAUCUUUAUAAUCUUUAUGUUUCAUAAUCACAUAAUUGAUCAAUCUUUGUUGAUCAAUGAUUAAAGAUUAGAAUCUUGUGUUGUCGGACCAGGCUUCAUUCCCCUCAUGUGUUCUUCCUUAAAUUUCAAGAAAGUUUGGAUCUUUCUGCACCUACACACUUUGUUUCAUCAACAAGAUUCAAAAUUGUUAGGUGGGUGUGUUCAAGUUUCAAUCUUUUUAAAGUUUUGAUAAAAAUCUUGUGAUUUUUGUGUUUCUUGUGAGCAUAAUUUGGAUAGAUGAUGAAGAAGAAGAUUGGUGGAUUCAAGAUUGUUAGAUAAUUUGGAUAGAUGAAGAAGAAGAUAACCAAUGAGUGGUGGUCCAUUUGUAAAGGCAAAACCUUUAAAUGCCUUGGAAGGGGAGGUCUUGGGUUCAAGUCCCACUGACGACAGGAAUAAAAGAAAUUUGCCGUUAAAAAAAAAUGAAGAAGAAGAUUGGGGUAAUGAUGAGUUCUGAGAAUCUAACAAAAUUCCAGAAACAGGAUGCUAAGGUUUUUGUUUUUAAUCAUUGCUACUCUAAAUCAUGAUGAAAUUAAUCAAAAAAGGUUUCUUUGUUUUGUGAUUAUUGAUUAGAUUGUCAGUCUUUUAACCCCUUGUUUUGGCAUCAUGAUGAGUUUUCAAGAAUGUGGUAUGUCUGUUUCUGUUCUC